CGUCGAGCUACUACGGUAGUGAAGUCAUUGAUGCCAUGCUUCCAGGAAAAGCCUCUAAGCUUCAGAUUGUAAGGAAUCGUACCCCAAACCGACACAGGUGGUCGGGUAGAGAAUACCAAGGCGCUUGAGAGAACUCGGGUGAAGGAACUAGGCAAAAUGGUACCGUAACUUCGGGAGAAGGUACGCUCUUGAUGGUGAAGUCCCUUGCGGAUGGAGCUGACGAGAGUCGCAGAUACCAGGUGGCUGCAACUGUUUAUUAAAAACACAGCACUGUGCAAAAUCGUAAGAUGACGUAUACGGUGUGACGCCUGCCCGGUGCCGGAAGGUUAAUUGAUGGGGUUAGCGUAAGCGAAGCUCUUGAUCGAAGCCCCGGUAAACGGCGGCCGUAACUAUAACGGUCCUAAGGUAGCGAAAUUCCUUGUCGGGUAAGUUCCGACCUGCACGAAUGGCGUAAUGAUGGCCACGCUGUCUCCACCCGAGACUCAGUGAAAUUGAAAUCGCUGUGAAGAUGCAGUGUACCCGCGGCUAGACGGAAAGACCCCGUGAACCUUUACUACAGCUUGGCACUGAACAUUGAACCUACAUGUGUAGGAUAGGUGGGAGGCUUUGAAGACGUGACGCCAGUUGCGUUGGAGCCGUCCUUGAAAUACCACCCUUGUAUGUUUGAUGUUCUAACGUUGGCCCCUAAUCGGGGUUGCGGACAGUGCCUGGUGGGUAGUUUGACUGGGGCGGUCUCCUCCCAAAGAGUAACGGAGGAGCACGAAGGUGGGCUAAUCACGGUUGGACAUCGUGAGGUUAGUGCAAUGGCAUAAGCCCGCUUAACUGCGAGAAUGACGGUUCGAGCAGGUGCGAAAGCAGGUCAUAGUGAUCCGGUGGUUCUGAAUGGAAGGGCCAUCGCUCAACGGAUAAAAGGUACUCCGGGGAUAACAGGCUGAUACCGCCCAAGAGUUCAUAUCGACGGCGGUGUUUGGCACCUCGAUGUCGGCUCAUCACAUCCUGGGGCUGAAGUCGGUCCCAAGGGUAUGGCUGUUCGCCAUUUAAAGUGGUACGCGAGCUGGGUUUAGAACGUCGUGAGACAGUUCGGUCCCUAUCUGCCGUGGGCGUUGGAAGAUUGAAGGGGGCUGCUCCUAGUACGAGAGGACCGGAGUGGACGAACCUCUGGUGUUCGGGUUGUGUCGCCAGACGCAUUGCCCGGUAGCUAAGUUCGGAAUCGAUAACCGCUGAAAGCAUCUAAGCGGGAAGCGAGCCCUGAGAUGAGUCUUCCCUGAUACUUUAAGUAUCCUGAAGGGUUGUUCGAGACUAGAACGUUGAUAGGCAGGGUGUGUAAGCGCUGUGAGGUGUUGAGCUAACCUGUACUAAUUGCCCGUGAGGCUUAACCAU
RNAcentral lists this ribosomal RNA (1380 nucleotides) under Vibrio vulnificus. Its description in RNAcentral is "partial 23S ribosomal RNA". It matches the Rfam family "Bacterial large subunit ribosomal RNA", at positions 1567 to 2925 of the family's 2925-position model. The record is from RNAcentral. Lineage: Bacteria; Pseudomonadati; Pseudomonadota; Gammaproteobacteria; Vibrionales; Vibrionaceae.